This 583-nucleotide ribosomal RNA is filed under the name Pseudomonas sp. enrichment culture clone S-2-6. RNAcentral describes it as "bacterial SSU rRNA". It matches the Rfam family "Bacterial small subunit ribosomal RNA", at positions 50 to 626 of the family's 1533-position model. The record is from RNAcentral. Lineage: Bacteria; Pseudomonadati; Pseudomonadota; Gammaproteobacteria; Pseudomonadales; Pseudomonadaceae.
UACACAUGCAGUCGAGCGGCAGCACGGGUACUUGUACCUGGUGGCGAGCGGCGGACGGGUGAGUAAUGCCUAGGAAUCUGCCUAGUAGUGGGGGAUAACGUCCGGAAACGGGCGCUAAUACCGCAUACGUCCUACGGGAGAAAGUGGGGGAUCUUCGGACCUCACGCUAUUAGAUGAGCCUAGGUCGGAUUAGCUAGUUGGUGAGGUAAUGGCUCACCAAGGCUACGAUCCGUAACUGGUCUGAGAGGAUGAUCAGUCACACUGGAACUGAGACACGGUCCAGACUCCUACGGGAGGCAGCGGUGUGGAAUAUUGGACAAUGGGCGAAAGCCUGAUCCAGCCAUGCCGUGUGUGUGAAGAAGGUCUUCGGAUUGUAAAGCACUUUAAGGUGGGAGGAAGGGCAGUUACCUAAUACGGUGAUUGUUUUGACCUUACCGACAGAAUAAGCACCGGCUUAAUCUGUGCCGGCCGCUCGGAAAUACAGAGGGUGCAAGCGUUAAUCGAAAUUACUGGGCGUAAGGCGCGCGUAGGGUGGUUGGUUAAGUUGGAUGUGACAGCCCCGGGCUCAACCUGGGAACUGCAU